AUAAUGCAUAAUAGGUUGAUUUCAAUUUCAAUAUUGUGAGAUGGCUGAUUAUAUCUUCAACUUAUCAAAUAUCAUUUCUUUGCGUUUUCUCAUAUUGUUGAUAAUCGCAUUUACUUUGUUUAUGCAGUUGGCUACUGUUAGUGCAGGUUUGUCACAUUGAUAUAUAUUGAAAAAAUAUUUCAUCUCACAAUUCAUUCUCCCUCAUUUUUUUAACAGUUUUUUUAACCUCUUAGCAUGUGUGAAAUAAUCGAAAAAAUCAUUCAUCAUGGGACGAAAGGAGUUAUUUAUUUAUUUUUUUAUUUAAAAAAUUGGAAAAACAAAAUUAAUGAUCAUUAAUUUACUACUAUAUGAUCCAAGUGAAAUUUAUAACUAAAAUUGUUUAGAGGGUAAUUAGAUUUUCUUUAAUCAUGAAAUAUAUUUUUAAUUAUGUUGAUUGUUGAUAAUAACGUAUAAUUGAAUUGUAGAUAUGAAGAUGAGGAAAUUGGGACUGUUGAUAAGUCCACCUCCUCCACCACCGUCCAACAUACCACCAAAACGAAUACUGUGAAGAUCAUGAGCUGAAUGUUAUUAUAGUACUUUUGUAAGAUUUUAUUUAAUUGUUUUAAAUUGUUUCUACUUGAAAGGUAAAUGAAAUAAAGUUUUAUUGAAUAUUGUUAUGAAUAAUAUGUAAUGAAUGUCCAUUAUUGUGUAUGUUUUCUUGUCCCCUAAUUGUGUCCUAUAAAUAAGACCCCUUUAUUACAAUGUAAAGCACACUUGUGAAUAGAAUAAUAACAAUGGUCUAUUCC
This 785-nucleotide long non-coding RNA is filed under the name Trifolium pratense (red clover). RNAcentral's name for it is "long non-coding RNA (TPRA_LNC004566)". The record is from RNAcentral. Lineage: Eukaryota; Viridiplantae; Streptophyta; Magnoliopsida; Fabales; Fabaceae.